Molecule: RNA transcript, 10237 nt
Organism: Humulus lupulus (European hop)
Lineage: Eukaryota; Viridiplantae; Streptophyta; Magnoliopsida; Rosales; Cannabaceae
Exons: 3
Source: RefSeq, a predicted model, not a curated record
GAUGUGUUUUUUUUCUUUUUUUGGUUUUAAUAAGGCUAGCAGAUAGUAGUAUAGUAUAAAGUUGCUGGUUCUCAGAUUUUAUUGGAGCAUCUUGCAUUUGUUGUAAGCACAGUAUUUCAAGUACCACUGUUGGUAGCUUCUGAAAUUCCUAGUCUUCUUGAGAUUUCACUUGGCAAUUAGUUUCUUUAGUAUUGGAGUUUAGUUGGUGGCUAUUGCAUAGGUAUGGCUAAGACUAGUAAAGUGCAAAUUUAAUAUUGUAACAUUUAUUAUGAAAUGGUUUUGUUAACAUAGUUUUUUACUUUAUUAAAAAAAACACAGAUUUUUACAUGCAUGCUUUUCUUUUUAUUGAAAAGAAAAGGAAUCAUUAUUACUCCAUGGUAUUUGGAAAUGAGAUUCAGUAAGGCACUUUUUGUUUUGAGCUUUGUUUCUUAUUUUAUCUCUCUUUUCUGAAAAAACCCUAAUUUGUUUCUAAUUCUCUAAAGUUCAUCUACGCAUCUUGUCUCUCCCUGCCUUAACUGGGAAUCACUCAUUCCAGUACAAAGGGACCAAGCCCAAAUGAAUCCUCAUCCUAUUUCUCAGUUCGUGUGUAUGAAUUGUCCUUUCCCUUUCUUUUUCUCCUGAGUUGCAUAGGUCUGGUUUCCUUUACUCUCAAAUGUGAUAAGUUUCAAUUCUUGUAUUUAAUGACCUUAUUUGUUUUAUUUUUCCUCUGAAAUUAGUUUCUCUCUAUGUUCUUUGUUCUUUUGUUUUUCUUGAUUUAUAUUAUUUCUUUAUGGGAGUGAUUUUAGUAACAAUAAGAAACUAGCUUUUGGUGUUGAAGAGAACGACUUUCUGAUCAUCCCUUGAGUAUAGAGUGUAUAGUAAUGUUUGAAGAGUGAAUAAGUUUAAUAUAUUUAAAAGAACUUCUUAAGGUCCGAUUGUUCAUCUCAUUUUCUUCAUCUUUAUUUCUAUUAACAUUGAUUUGGAGAAUCCCUAGGUGUGCAUUGCUUCUCUCUAAUUUUUAAAAAAGUAGUAGUGAGGUGGUAAUCUGGUUUUCGUUUGUCUCUAUCUUUCUCUACCGAGGUAUGGUCUCUCUCUCUCUCUCUCUCUCAAGCUCUCUGUGUUAGCCUUUUUAUCUAAGAUCAAUUUGUUUGUGAUUAUUUGUCUGAAUUUUUUUUAUUCAAGUUAUAAGUUAACUAAUACUGUAGCAUCUUAGUUUAUGCUUCAUGAGUUUUUCUCUGUUGAUGGUUGAAGUUUGUUAUGGUUUCUGUUAUGGGCUCGAAAAGCUCUCCAUAAAUUCCACUUACUGAUUACAGGAAAUUAGUUCUCUGUAGAUUUUUGUUUUGGUUUUGUGUUGUUAUACUAAUAAAAUUAAGUUGCUCUUAGUGGGUUAAUGAAUUUUUUUUUCAGUGUUUCCUUAUCCCAUUUCAUCAUCUUUAAUCUAUAGAGUUUCGGGCAGGGAUUGAAGUAUGAGUAAGGCUCCUUUUUUAUAUGAACCUUUUUUUUUGUAUUUUGUACUUCAAAUCGUAGUAUAUUGACAAAAUCUUUAAAAGAAUGAUUGUAGAGUUCUUUUAUAAAAAUAUAUAUAUAUAUUGGUUUGCAGUUACUCUUUUCUAGCUUUGGUCAAAUCUGGGUUUGCUUUGUUAUUUUCUAGAAGUUAGUUGUACCAAACUAGUUUUUUAAGUUGUUGGUCUCGACAGAGUUGUUAAUUAGUUGUGGUGCUUAAGUAUAGAUGAUUGUUUGAUCUUAUAUGUGUUCCUAGUUAUGGUUGUGGUGGUGGUAUUGUUUUUGUACCAGUGGCAGUAAGGAGUUAUUUAAAUAUUUAUAACUUGAUUAGUGUGCAUAGUAGUUAUUUAAAUAGUAGCGAGGUGGACUCUAGUUUUCGUUUGUCUAUGUCUUUCUCUACUGAGGUUGUUAGGAAAAAAUGUUUUGCCUCAAUGGAAAUUGAUAAUAAUAUUACAACUCUAUGCAAUAAUAUUACAAAUAAAUAUAGAUUGAUUAAAUAAGAUUACAACUCUAUAACUGAAAGUACAAAUAAACAAAAUAGAAGAAGAAGGAGAGAAGAAGAAUGGAAUAGUGAAAAAUACAACUCUAAGCAAAAGAUUACAAAUAAAGUAAAAGUGUUUGGAACACAAGAAAAGAUGAUUACAACUCUAAACAAAAUUACAAGUAAAUAAAACAAGAGGAAUGAGAAGAAAAGAAAUAGAGGAAAUUGUAAGAACAAAACAAAGAAAACUCUCACUUACACAACCUAAGUGAAGAGUGUUGGGGAUCACCAACUUGAACAAGGUUUAAAACCUUUGUCCAAAAGCUUAUUUCCCCCUAACUCAAGCACUAAGGGAUCUCUCUCAGAUAUUGGAAAAUCUUUCUAGAAUUAUCAAGCCUCAAGGUGUUUCUAGCCAAGUGCUCUAAUGGAUAGAAAUGUUGUGUCAUACAAGUGAGCUAUAGGCUCCUAUUUAUAGAGUUUAGAGACAUCCUUUGAAUUUCAAAUUCAAUCAACCCCCAUGGCUAUUACCAAUGUUUAAUUGGAUUAAAAUGGAAUUAAAAAGGAGAUUUGGGAGUUAUUUGGGUUCUUUGAGCCGUUCAACAAAGAUCGAAAAAACUAAAAGAAAAAAAAAAUGGUCAGUUUUUGGCCUGUGGCCGUGGCCACCGACCAUUUUCAGCACUAAAAAAUGUGUUGUUUUUUCAAACGGUUCCAAACCCUCCCAAAUGAUUUUGUAACUCCCAAAACACAUUAUUGGGGUUAAAAUCAAAUCUCAAGCAGCCAUAUCACAUAUGGCUUUAUGAAAUUCAUCUCAAUAUUGUGUAACAACAAUUUUACACAAUAAAGGGUAAUAUUUGGAAGUUACAAAUUUGUAACACCAAAUAUGUUACAUUAUUUGGAUAUAUCUCAUAUAUCUAAAUAUUGUAACUCUCUAUUAUAUGUUACAAUAUGUGACACACUUUGUCACAUUUAUUUAAUCUAAAACAUUAUAUUAUAAUAUAAUAUAAUAUUACAUUAUAUUAUAUUAUAAAAUAAUAUAACAUUCCCCCACUAGAUUAAAUAGUUAUCUAUUGUAACACUUAUUUAAUCAAUCAUUAUAUUUUGAAAUACAACAUAUCCCCCACUUGAUUAAAUAAGAACUCUCUCUUAUAGGAGUCAUUGCAUUAGUGCAUAAAGCAGAGUGUUUUUCAACUUGAACUUUACUAUAGUGUAAUUAUCACAAAAUUUGUUGAAAAUUAGGUUGCACUAGGCAUUGAACCAUCUUUUCAUGAAAAAAAAUUGGUGAUAACACACACACCUUUGCAAUGUUCACUUGAGACCUCUAUGUCUCGCUUUGCACCGUUAAUGAGCAUGUGCACUUUCAAUUCAUAGACGUUCUUGAGAAUACUCCCAAUUCUCAUGAGAGGCGGCACCACCCCUAGGUCCAUAUAGGUAGAAUUCUUACAGUAUUUUGUUACCAAAAAUACUUGUCUUUACAAGACUGAAUUCUAUUAAAAAACCUUUCGGUUUUAACCCUCAACUUGGUAACACACAAGUACUCAAUAUCUCAGAUGGGACAACUAAUAUUCACUUGAUUGACUUGUUGUUACCUAUUGAACCUAACACUAGUUGAAUAACUAGUGUUAAGAUAGGUUACCAUCAAUCAUGAAUCUCUUUAGAGAAUUUAAGUCCCAUCCCUCGAGAAGAUGCAGCCACUAAAUCCCUCGUUAGUGGCUUAGUGAAAGGAUCCGCCAGAUUUUCACUUGUUCUUACAUAGGAUAUUGAGAUGACUCCUCUUUGAAUCAAUUCUCUUACAUAUCCAUGUCUUAGACUAAUGUGUCUAGACUUCCCAUUAUACACUUCAAUGUAUGCUCUAGCCAAUUUCGCUUGGCUAUCACAAUGUAUCGAUAUAGUAGAUACAUUUUCUUUGAUUAGGGGAAUCUCUAUCAACAGAUCCCUUAACCAUUCAGCCUCUUUGUCGGUAGCAGGUAGAGCUAUGAACUCUGCUUCCAUAGUGGAAUGAGAUAUACAAGUUUGUUUCUUGGAACCCCAAGAAAUUGCACCUCCACCAAAUGUAAAUACCCAACCAGUUGUGGACAAGUUGUCCCUAAGAUUGGAUAUCCAACUUGCAUUUGUAUAUCCUUCUAAUAUCGAAGGAAAUUUGGAGUAGUGAAGGCUUAGUCCUUUGGUUUUCUUGAGAUAACUUAGGACUCUUCCAAUUGCCUUCCAGUGAUCCACACUUGGAUUACUUGUAAACCUACUAAGUUUACUUACCGCAAAUGCUAUAUCAGGUCUACUACACUGGGCAGCGUACAUUAGACUCCCUAUAGCACUAGCGUACUCCAAUUGAGCCACCGCUCUUCCUUCAUUCUUCUCUAGUUUUACACUAUGAUCAAAUGGAGUAUUGGGAUCUUUAACCUUGAGAUGGUUAAAUUUGUUCAAUACUUUCUCAACAUAGUGGGCUUGCCCUAACACAAAACCCCCACUAUGUUUCUUUACUUUGAUACCGAGUAUGGUAUCAACUUCUCCAAGAUCUAUCAUCUUGAAGGUUGAUGAUAGAAACCUCUUCGUUUCUUCUAUCCCUUUCAUGCUAUUACUUAGAAUAAGCAUGUCAUCCACAUAUAAGCAAACAAUGAUCACAUAUCCCUUACAAGUUUUGGAAUACAAACACUUAUCUCCAUUGUUAUGUCUAAACCCAUUAGACAUGAUGGCUUGAUCAAAUUUCUCAUGCUAUUGCUUAGGAGCUUGUUUCAAUCCAUAUAAGGAUUUUACAAGUCUACAAACUUUAUGUUCAUAUUUUGGUAGGACAAACCCUUUGGGUUGUUCCAUAUAGACCUCCUCAUUGAGGUCAGCAUUAAGGAAUGUCGUUUUGAAAUCCAUUUGAUGAACAUACAAGUUGUGUAUAGAAGCUAAAGCGAACAAAAUUCUUAUAGAAGUUAUUCUUGCAACAGGCGCAUAGGUAUCGAAAUAAUCGAUACCCUCUUUUUGCCUAAACCCUUUAGCUACUAUUCUAGCUUUAAAGGUUUGGAUAGUGCCGUCAGUGUGGUAUUUUCUCUUAAAUACCCACUUACACCCAAUUGGCUUAGACCUCGGUGGGAGGUCUACCAAUUCCCAAGUGUUACUGGAAAUAAUGGAAUCCAUCUCAUCAUUGAUGGCUUCUUUCCAAAAUGCACUAUCUCUUGAUUGCAUAGCUUCUCUAUAAGUCUUAGGAUCAUCCUCAACGAGAAGUACAGUAGGAAUUUUGCCAAUGACUUCCUCUCUAUUUCCUUCUACCAUGUAGAAUGAAAUUCGUUGAGAAUCUAUCUCAUCCACUACUAGACUUUUAUGAUUUUUAAGCCUUUGACUUCUUCUAGGUUCAAAGGGUUGCUUUACAUCCUUUUGAGAAAUCUCCUCUUGAGAAUCAACUUUGGAUGUAGAAGAUUAAGAAUUGUUCUCAUAUAACAAAUUCUCCUUUAGAGAUGUUGAAACUUGAGAAUUGUUGUCACAUAACAUGUUCUCGAAAAAUUCAACUUCUCUAGAUUCAAUCACAAUAUUAGACUCUAAGUCUUAUAGCAUAUAAGCUUUACUAUUGUUGGCAUAACAAACAAAAUCACACUUUAUGGCUCUUGAACCUAACUUUGUUCUAUUAGGUUCGUUUUUUUGGCAAUAUGCAAGACAUCCCCACACUUUGAAGUACCCUAUGUUGGGUUUUCUUCCUUUCCAUAACUCAUAUGGAGAUAUCUCAUUUUUCUUCAUUGGUAUUCGAUUAAGAAUGUGACAAGUGGUUAAUAACGCUUCACCCCAUAAGUUGAAAUUCAACUUAGAAAACACCAAACAUAAAAUUUAUCAUCUCUAGAUAAGUCCUAUUUUUCCUUUCGGCAACACCAUUGUGUUGUGGUGUAUAAGGUGCAGUGCACUCAUGAAUUAUACAAUUUUCUUCACAAAAUGUAUUGAAUUCAUUAGAGAAGUACACUCCUCCUCUAUCACUUCUUAGUACCUUAAUCUUGUUAUUUAGUUGAUUUUCAACUUCUAAUUUAUACAAUUUAAAAGCAUCAAAAGUUUCAUCUUUAUGCUUUAAAAGGAACACAUAGGUAUAUCUACUAAAAUCAUCUAUAACAGUAAGAAAAUACCUUUUACCACCUCUAGUUAAAACACCAUUUAAUUCACAAAGAUCACUAUGGAUUAAAUCUAGUAAAUUAGAUGAUCUUUCUACACUGGGAAAUGGUUUCUUAAUCAUUUUCGUCUUAACACAUGUUUCACAUUUACCAUAGUUUUUAAUAUUGCAUGCAAUCAUACCACAUUUUACUACUCUUUUCAUGGUUGAAAAACCUAUAUGCGAUAGUCUAAGAUGCCACAAAAAUAAAGAAUCAUACUCAACAAUAUAGGCGGAAUUAGCAUUUUUAUUGAUAACAUUGAAAGUUACAUCAUUGGUGCACAAUUUAACCAUUCCCUCACAAGAGUACCCUUUUCUCAAGAAUACAUUUGAUUUGGUAAGUAUAAGUUUACCGGACUCAAAAACGGCUUUAAUGCCGGGCUUGCCAAGCAAAUCACCACUUACCAAGUUUCUACUCAUUUCGGGAACAUAAAGUACAUUCACUAAUGUAACUUUCUUGCCGGAGGUGAAGUAGACAUCAAUAGUACCUUUACCAAGUACCUUGGAUUUGCCCUCAUUGCCCAUUUGUAUCUCAUGGCUACCCUUUGACUCUUCAAAGGUCUUGAACAAUGAUUUGUCAUAGGUGACAUGGACGAUGGCACAUGUAUCAUACCACCACCCUUUCACCUUGCCUUGGACCGCAUUCACCUCACUAAGGGUAGCAACUAUGUUUUCCUCUUGAGUUGCGUUCACCCAAAGGUUUCUCAUUACCCUUUUUCCCUUUGUUUUUGGGAUGUUUUGGUUGUGACACCGCAUUUGCUUUGGAAGUCUCACCAUUAGACCCCUCCACAAGUUUAUCUCUACAUAUCGAUUCCUCUUCGAUUUGAAUAUGUUUUUGGAUUUCCUCCAAAGAAUAAUCCUCAUUUUUAUGAAGGAUUCUUUUCCUAUAGCUCUUCCAAGUUAGUGGUAAUUUAGCCACUAUAGCACCAACUUGAAAGGCCUCGGGAAGCUCAAUCUUUAGCACUUUCAAUUUGUUAACAAUUAUUUGCAAUUCAUGAAUUUAAGGAAGAAUAGGUUUAUCACCAAAAAAUUUGAAAUCGAAGUAUUGAGAUAUCAAAAACUUUUUGGUACCUUCCUCUUCUGCCUUAAACUUUUUCUCAAGUGCAUCCCAUAUCUCCUUGGCUGAUUUGGUCUCGGUGUAGAGGUCAUAGAGCCUAUCGGAUAGGGCGUUGAUGAUAUGACCCCUACAAAGGAGAUUGUCCUCCUCCCUCUUCCUUCUCUUCUCCACCUCCUCGGGAGUGUCUUUGUCGGAUGGCUCGGCUAGAGGUGCCAAGGAAGACUCAAGGAUGUAGGCGAUUUUGAGAGUGGUUAAUAAAAACCUCACAUUGUCUUGCCACGUAGUAAAAUUGGAUCCAUCAAACCUAUCCAACCUUACUAGGUCUUGAUUCAUGAUCUUGAUGGUUUCCCCUUCCAUUGAAACAAAACAGGAAUAAGCUUUUGAAUGUUAGGAAAAAAUGUUUUGCCUCAAUGGAAAUUGAUAAUAAUAUUACAACUCUAUGCAAUAAUAUUACAAAUAAAUAUAGAUUUAUUAAAUAUUAUUACAACUCUAUAACUGAAAGUACAAAUAAACAAAAUAGAAGAAGAAGAAGAAUGGAAUAGUGAAAAAUACAACUCUAAGCAAAAGAUUACAAAUAAAGUAAAAGUGUUUGGAACACAAGAAAAGAUGAUUACAACUCUAAACAAAAUUACAUGUAAAUAAAACAAGAGGAAUGAGAAGAAAAGAAAUAGAGGAAAUUGUAAGAACAAAACAAAGAAAACUCUCACUUACACAACCUAAGUGAAGAGUGUUGGGGAUCACCAACUUGAACAAGGUUUAAAACCUUUGUCCAAAAGCUUAUUUCCCCCUAACUCAAGCACUAAGGGAUCUCUCUCAGAUAUUGGAAAAUCUUUCUAGAAUUAUCAAGCCUCAAGGUGUUUCUAGCCAAGUGCUCUAAUGAAUAGAAAUGUUGUGUCAUACAAGUGAGCUAUAGGCUCCUAUUUAUAGAGUUUAGAGACACCCUUUGAAUUUCAAAUUCAAUCAACCCCCAUGGCUGUUACCAAUGUUUAAUUGGAUUAAUAUGGAAUUAAAAAGGAGAUUUGGGAGUUAUUUGGGUUCUUUGAGCCGUUCAACAAAGAUUGAAAAAACUGGAAAAAAAAAUGGUCAGUUUUUGGCCUAUGGCCGCGGCCAGAGACAUUAGUGGCCGUGGCCAGUAGCCUCUGUCCCACAGGCCGCGGCUACCAACAUUCCGUGGCCGCAGCCACCGACCAUUUUCAGCACUAAAAAUGUGUUGUUUUUCCAAACGGUUCCAAACCCUCCCAAAUGAUUUUAUAACUCCCAAAACACAUUAUUGGGGUUAAAAUCAAAUCUCUAACAACCAUAUCACAUAUGGCUUUAUGAAAUUCAUCUCAAUAUUGUGUAACAACAAUUUUACACAAUAAAGGGUAAUAUUUGGAAGUUACAAAUUUGUAACACCAAAUAUGUUACAUCAUUUGGAUAUAUCUCAUAUAUCUAAAUAUUGCAACUCUCUAUUAUAUGUUACAAUAUGUGAUACACUUUGUCACAUUUAUUUAAUCUAAAACAUUAUAUUAUAAUAUAAUAUAAUAUUACAUUAUAUUAUAAAAUAUUAUAACAGAGGUAUGGUCUCUCUCUCUCUCUCAAGCUCUCUGUGUUAGCCUUGUUAUCUAUGAUCAAUUUGUUUGUGAUUAUUUGUCUGAAUUUUUUUUAUUCAAGUUAUAAGUUAACUAAUAUUGUAGCAUCUUAGUUUAUGCUUCAUGAGUUUUUCUCUGUUGAUGGUUGAAGUUUGUUAUGGUUUCUAUUAUGGGGUCGGAAAGUUCUCCAAAAAUUCCACUUACUGAUUACAGUAAAUUAGUUCUCUGUAGGAUUUUGUUCUGGUUUUGUGUUGUUAUACUAAUAAAAUUAAGUUGCUCUUAGUGGUUAAUGAUUUUUUUCAGUGUUUCCUUAUCCCAUUUCAUCAUCUUUAAUCUAUAGAGUUUCGGGCAGGGAUUGAAGUAUGAAUGCUAAAGAAGCUAAGCAAACAAUUACGUGGCGAGGAUUGGAAUUGGAACAACUUAAACAUAUUAUGUUGGGCAAUAGGGUCUAUAUUUGGGUUUGAUUAUGACUGUGUUGAUUCUUUAUUGCUUCUCCAUAGUUAUCUUUAGUUGAUAUUUAUGAAAUGGGUUAUCUUUAUUGAUUAUAAUUGCUUGGGUUAUAUGUCAACCUUUAGAAGACCUUGAUUGGAUAUGGAUACAGAUUGUUUAAUGAUUGCUUAUAUUGAAUUUUUUUUCUUUGUAUAUUUUACUAUAAAGGCUCCGCAACAUCACCAUAAUCUAGCUCAUCCUAUUGUAAAUUAUGAAAAUCUAGUUACAUUGGAGCCCUAGAAGCUCUCAAGAUAUUUGUUAUAUUCUUAGUUUUGUAAAUUGUUACAAGCUCCAUUGAUAAGAUCUAGAUAAUAUAUUGUGUGCUUGUGCUUGAUUAUUUGUAUUUCUGAAUACUGCCGACCUAGUGUUUUUCACACUCUAAUUGUUCUAUAAAUAUUUACAUUAUUAAGUCUUCCAGAGUAUCCAAUGGAGUUCUAUUCCAAGAUAAGAACUCAUAUGGUUCUUUCCUAUCAUUAUCUUCUAGUACUUUUAUACUAACAUAUGCUCUCAUGUGUCAGGUUGGAUCUAUUGCUGUGUUUGUAAUGAGGCAUAGAGGCCAGGUUGGAGGGGGCAGAAGUCCGUUACAGCAUAUAGUGAAUGUAAUUGCUCUAAAUAUGGUUAUUGGCUGAGGGAUUUCAGAAACUAUUAAUAGACCCACUCAAAUAUUGUCUUUCCUUUGCAUUUUCAUUCUCUAUCAUAUCGGUGCUUUCUGGUGUACUUUCUUUCUCCAUGUUGGUUGCUUUGUCCAUGGCUGAGAUUUGUUCUUCUUACCUUACUUCUGGGGGUCUCUACUAUUAGAGUACCAAGCUUGCUGGCCCAAAAUGGUCACCAUUUGCUUCAUGGAUAACUGGCUCGUAUGUAAUAAUAUUCUUUUUCUAACUGUUAACUUGGGAAAAUGUCUUUCUUCAAUUUUUUCUAGUUGACUAUUUAUACUCUGGCUUGGAGCUUUUAGAGUUUCAUUUGGGGUCUGAGACUGUAAUGCUUGCUUAGGUCUUAUAUUGUAUACAGUUUUAUUAUUUGAUUCAUAUUAUUUAAUUUGUUUAAGUACA